Molecule: ribosomal RNA, 123 nt
Organism: Neogale vison (American mink)
Lineage: Eukaryota; Metazoa; Chordata; Mammalia; Carnivora; Mustelidae
Source: Ensembl
GUCUAUGACCAUACUACCUUGAAUGCUCCUGAUCUUGUCUGAUCUCAGAAGCUAAGCAGGGUCAGGCCUGGUUAGUACUUGGAUGGGGGAUUUGCUCAAGAGCAAAACUGCAAUUCAACAAUA